CUGGGGUGAUGAUUCUUAGCCAAAUCAGACAUUGAUGUGCUCCAGUGGAUUGUCUUUCCUAGCCAUAUAUAUAUAUAUAUACUUAUAUAUAUGGUCUGGGGCAGCUUGUAAAGCCUGCGAGUAGACACCUUUUGUAGAAGCGCAUCUAUGUGAUGAUAAAACAGAGAAAUGGUAUCAGACUGACCAGA
Molecule: non-coding RNA, 188 nt
Organism: Daucus carota subsp. sativus
Lineage: Eukaryota; Viridiplantae; Streptophyta; Magnoliopsida; Apiales; Apiaceae
Source: Rfam